UGUAGGAGCGAGCCUGCUCGCGAUGGUCGUGAACGAUCAUGCGCGUUUACUGAAUAAACGCGUUGUUCUGGAGUCCAUCGCGAGCAGGCUCGCUCCCACA
RNAcentral lists this unclassified non-coding RNA (100 nucleotides) under Pseudomonas mohnii. The record is from RNAcentral. Lineage: Bacteria; Pseudomonadati; Pseudomonadota; Gammaproteobacteria; Pseudomonadales; Pseudomonadaceae.